CAGCGUCACGAGUGGCAACCAUAUUUAUUGGGCCUAAAGCGUCCGUAGCCUGUUUGAUAAGUCUUUUGUGAAAUCGUUGAGCUCAACUUAACGUCGUGCAAGAGAUACUGUCAGACUUGGAAUUGGGAAGAGUUAGAGGUAUUCUGGGGGGAGCGGUAAAAUGCUAUAAUCCCCGGAGGACCACCAGUGGCGAAAGCGUCUAACUAGAACAACUUCGACGGUGAGGGACGAAAGCCAGGGGAGCAAAACGGAUUAGAUACCCGAGUAGUCC
RNAcentral lists this ribosomal RNA (271 nucleotides) under uncultured archaeon. RNAcentral describes it as "partial 16S ribosomal RNA". It matches the Rfam family "Archaeal small subunit ribosomal RNA", at positions 477 to 747 of the family's 1478-position model. The record is from RNAcentral.